This 407-nucleotide ribosomal RNA is filed under the name uncultured bacterium. Its description in RNAcentral is "bacterial SSU rRNA". It matches the Rfam family "Bacterial small subunit ribosomal RNA", at positions 356 to 773 of the family's 1533-position model. The record is from RNAcentral.
GGGGAAUCUUGCACAAUGGGCGGAAGCCUGAUGCAGCGACGCCGCGUGAGGGAUGACGGCCUUCGGGUUGUAAACCUCUUUCGCCAGGGACGAAGCCUUCGGGUGACGGUACCUGGAUAAGAAGCACCGGCCAACUACGUGCCAGCAGCCGCGGUAAUACGUAGGGUGCGAGCGUUGUCCGGAAUUACUGGGCGUAAAGAGCUCGUAGGCGGUUUGUCGCGUCGUCUGUGAAAUUCUGCAGCUUAACUGCAGGCGUGCAGGCGAUACGGGCAGACUUGAGUACCACAGGGGAGACUGGAAUUCCUGGUGUAGCGGUGAAAUGCGCAGAUAUCAGGAGGAACACCGGUGGCGAAGGCGGGUCUCUGGGUAGUAACUGACGCUGAGGAGCGAAAGCGUGGGUAGCGAAC